This 403-nucleotide ribosomal RNA is filed under the name Bacteroidota bacterium. RNAcentral's name for it is "Bacteroidetes bacterium partial 16S ribosomal RNA". It matches the Rfam family "Bacterial small subunit ribosomal RNA", at positions 355 to 776 of the family's 1533-position model. Lineage: Bacteria; Pseudomonadati; Bacteroidota. The record is from RNAcentral.
UGGGGAAUAUUGCACAAUGGGGGAAACCCUGAUGCAGCGACGCCGCGUGAACGAAGAAGGUAUUCGUAUCGUAAAGUUCUGUCCUAUGGGAAGAAAAUGACAGUACCAUAGAAGAAAGCUCCGGCUAAAUACGUGCCAGCAGCCGCGGUAAUACGUAUGGAGCGAGCGUUGUCCGGAAUUAUUGGGCGUAAAGGGUACGCAGGCGGUUUAAUAAGUCGAAUGUUAAAGAUCGGGGCUCAACCCCGUAAAGCAUUGGAAACUGAUAAACUUGAGUAGUGGAGAGGAAAGUGGAAUUCCUAGUGUAGUGGUGAAAUACGUAGAUAUUAGGAGGAAUACCAGUAGCGAAGGCGACUUUCUGGACACAAACUGACGCUGAGGUACGAAAGCGUGGGGAGCAAACAGG